AGGGAGAGAGAGAGAGAGAGAGAGAGAGAACGAGAAAAUAAAAAACAAGAAACUAAAACUAAAACUUCUGCGACAAACGCACUUCCACCUUCCAACUUGUGUCUCGGCGGCACAAAGAUCACCCUCCUCGGCCCUCGGACGCGUAUAGUCCUCGCGGGGCACGACCUCAAACUCAAUUUCAACAUUACAUUACCGCCGAACACCACCAUGGACAACCUGAGGUGCUACAACAGCGACGGGCAUGUGUACUCGUACAAAUCGAAAGAAGAGGAACAGGAGGUGCUGCUUCGCUUCACCGACAGCCGCCAGUCCGGCGUGUACCACUGCAAGUGCAAACAUGCCAUCGUGUACCUGGCCGUACUUGUGCGUGACAAGGGCUUUGAAGAGACGUACCACGGUCUAGGGGAUGAGGUCGUCGCCCCUGUGGCCAUCCUGACUGUGCUACUUGUCAUCUUCAGCACUCUAGGAUCUGUUUACAUAUGCAAGAGCCAGGCUGCUCAUGGAGACCAGGGUGACAGAAGCGUGAGGGUUGUCACAGGGAGGGCCAGUCAGGAAGGAGACUCUGGGGGCCAGGAAGGAAAUGAUGAGGAAGAGGCCGCUGACAACUCUGUGUACACGACCCUGGAGUCUCGCCCGGCAUCGAUUUAUGAAGUGUUGGAUCCAUCAGCGUCAAACAGCGGGACACAAUCAAAGAAAAAGAGCAAGAAGGGGUCAAAGAAAAAGGAUGAAACUGCUUCUGCAGAGGAUGGGAUCUUUGAAUCAGUCUAUGCGAAUCUGUGAUGAAUCACUGACUGUAACCUAGUCAGUCUGUUUCUAUUGUAAAAUAUUUAGACUGCCUUAUUAACCUUUUGGUCUGUUGUCAUUGUAUGUACAUUGUAAUCUCUGCUGUUAUACUGUGA
Molecule: long non-coding RNA, 899 nt
Organism: Clupea harengus (Atlantic herring)
Lineage: Eukaryota; Metazoa; Chordata; Actinopteri; Clupeiformes; Clupeidae
Source: Ensembl